Molecule: ribosomal RNA, 175 nt
Filed under: uncultured bacterium
Lineage: Bacteria
Description: partial 16S ribosomal RNA
Rfam family: Bacterial small subunit ribosomal RNA
Source: RNAcentral
CCUACGGGAGGCAGCAGUGGGGAAUCUUGCACAAUGGGCGGAAGCCUGAUGCAGCGACGCCGCGUGGGGGACGAAGGCCCUCGGGUUGUAAACCCCUUUCGGCAGGGAAGAAGCGAAAGUGACGGUACCUGCAGAAGAAGCUCCGGCUAACUACGUGCCAGCAGCCGCGGUAAUA